Small nucleolar RNA from Cololabis saira (Pacific saury), 70 nucleotides. RefSeq annotates it as small nucleolar RNA SNORD82. Lineage: Eukaryota; Metazoa; Chordata; Actinopteri; Beloniformes; Belonidae. The record is from RefSeq and is a predicted model, not a curated record. The transcript has a single exon.
AGCUUCUAAUGAUGAUCAACAAGGGACUUAAUACUGAUGUGUGAUGUCACCUUCUUUAUUCUGAAUGUGC